Astatotilapia calliptera (eastern happy) is the source of this 1150-nucleotide long non-coding RNA. The record is from Ensembl. NCBI's taxonomy places the organism in Eukaryota, Metazoa, Chordata, Actinopteri, Cichliformes, Cichlidae.
CUUUGAUAUUAAUGAGUUUUUUGGGUUCAUUGAGAACAUGGUUGUUGUUCAAUAAUAAAAUUAUUCCUCAGAAAUACAACUUGCCUAAUAAUUCUGCACUCCCUGUACAUGCCUGUGUUAUUUUUUUAAGGUACAUCCCUGUGCUCCUCCUCCUCUGUUCAUAUUUGAUAAAUGGGAGAGGUAGUUCUUGGAAAUAAAGUAAAUAACAUACAUCAGGUUUGUUCAGUUGAGCUCUUGGUGUCAUUUGAAUGUUAUCUUUGAAAGCACAGACAUGGAAUGGGAAGAAAUAUGCAAGACGGUCCUUGUGUCUGCAGGAGCUGGUGGAACUGUGAUUCUGACUCCUGCCAUUCUGGCUUCACUGGGGUUCACUUCAGCUGGAAUAGCAGCAGGCUCCAUCGCUGCCAAACUGAUGUCAUAUUUAGCAAUCGCUAGUGGAGGUGGAGUUGUAGCAGGAGGUCUCGUAGCAACCUUGCAGUCCUGGAGUAAACUGAAUAAUUUACUAUAUAUUAUCUCUCUCUCUCUCUCUAAAAGCUUUGCUCAUGUUGAAUAAGCUAAUAGAGCUAAUAGUGUCUAACAUGAUUUCACUGUAGGUGCAGCAGGUAUGUCAUGGGCUGCCACUGCAUUAUUUGGCGGUGUUGGUGGAGCAGCGGCUUGGGUGCUCUCAACUGUGUGUAACGUGACUGUGGUUUAUGAAGAUUAACACGUAAAAAAACACAAACUGACCUACAAAUGUUUUCUCCUGUGACAAAUUUUAAUCGCCUGGAUGAAACGUUAUUCUUAUGUGUGAAUGUCGAACACUGAGAUUAAAGCAUAUUUUGAGAAUUAAGUUACAAAAAUGGUUCAUAAAAAUUUCAUUCAGAUUUUAUCCAUCAUUAAAAACAAAAACAAAAAACAACUGAUAUGGUGCCUUUAUUCUCUUCAUUAAUUCAAUGUGAAAAUUAAAAGUCAUGCAAAAAUAAGUGUUUCCUUGCUUUUAUUGUAAACAACUUAAUGUAAAGCACAGUAACAAUACCAUAUGUUUCUAUAGUCCAUAAAUCUAUCACUCUUACAGAGCCACAACUCUGACGGGAGACUAUGUAGGACAGGGGUGUCAAACUCCAGUCCUUGAGGGCCGGUGUCCUGAAACUUUUCCAUGUGUCCCUGAUGCAAC